UUACUGAUCUAAAUAUAUUUAUCUAACAACUUUUAAUUUAUGAUUAUUAAACAAUUUCACAUAUUUUACAGCAAACCAUUACCCCCAUUUUAGUAUAGGUGAUAGAAAAAAAUUAUACAUAUACAGUACCGCAAGGGAACAUUGAAAAAGUGAUGAAACAGAUUGAUUAAGUAAAACAAAGCAAAGAUAAAAUCUUGUACCUUUUGCAUCAUGGCUUAGCAAGUAGACCCGAAAAUACUGCCGCCCCCCCGAAACUAGACGAGCUACCCUGGGAUUACCUAUAAGGGUUAAUCCGUAUCUGUGGCAAAAGAUUGGAAAAAGCCCUGGGUAGAGGUGAAAAGCCUACCGAGCCUAGUGAUAGCUGGUUACUUAAGAAACAAGUUUAAGCUUGAUCUUAAUUUGUAGAUAAGCAACAAAAUUACUUAUAAAUUUAAACAUCUUACUCCUCUACACUUUAAGUUUUAUUCACUAGGGGUACAGCCCUAGUGAACAGAGAUACAGCUCUAUUAAUUAGAUAAUAUUACAUCUAUAAACUUAAGUAGGCCUAAAAGCAGCCACCAAGAAGAAAAGCGUUACAGCUUAAGUUUACCAAACUUUAAAUACCAUAAUAUAUAAAGACCCUAUAACCACUAUUAAGUAAUCCUAUAUUAUAGGAAAUAUCCUGCUAAGAUUAGUAAUUUGAGGCCGCACCCCUCUAAAUGUAAGUGUAAACCAGAUCGGACCAACCACUGGAAAUUAACGGCCCUUAAAACAACAGGAAGUCAUCAACGCACCUACCGACAGGAAAAACAAGAACUAAUAACCGUUAAUCCUACACUGGAACAUAAUAUAGAAGAUAUAAAGGAUGAGAAGGAACUCGGCAAACACAUGCCUCGCCUGUUUACCAAAAACAUCACCUCCAGAUAAGAACACCCUAUUGGAGGCAAGACCUGCCCAAUGAUUAAUAUUGAAUGGCCGCGGUACUUUGACCGUGUAAAAGUAGCGUAAUCACUUGUCUUGUAAAUUAAGACUGGAAUGAAAGGUUACACGAGGGCAUAACUGUCUCCUUAUCCCUAUCAAUGAAAUUGACCUACCCGUGCAAAGGCGGGUAUAAACCCAUAAGACGAGAAGACCCUGUGGAGCUUCCAAACAUUUACAUCGCAUAAUCAUUAUUUACGAUGCACAGUUUUAGGUUGGGGCAACCACGGAACAAAAGUAAUAUCCACGACGACGAAAAUACAAUUUUCUUAACCUAGAGUUACAACUCUAAGUACUAGUAAAACUAACGUUAAUAGACCCAGCAUCACUUGCUGCCUAACGAAACAAGUUACCCCAGGGAUAACAGCGCAAUCCUUUCCACGAGCCCGAAUCAACGAAAGGGUUUACGACCUCGAUGUUGGAUCGGGGCACCCCAAUGGCGCAAAAGCUAUUAAAGGUUCGUUUGUUCAACGAUUAAAGCCCCACGUGAUCUGAGUUCAGACCGGAGUAAUCCAGGUCAGUUUCUAUCUAUGUUUGCUACUUCCCCAGUACGAAAGGACCGGCGAAGCAAGGGUCUAUACACUUAUGCAAACCCUAUAUCAAUCUUAUGAGAUCAACUUAAUAAGAAUAGUAAGCAACCUUAAAUAUAUAACUAGACAAGUU
Molecule: ribosomal RNA, 1620 nt
Filed under: Entosphenus tridentatus (Pacific lamprey)
Lineage: Eukaryota; Metazoa; Chordata; Hyperoartia; Petromyzontiformes; Petromyzontidae
Description: 16S ribosomal RNA
Rfam family: Bacterial large subunit ribosomal RNA (bases 161-1564)
Source: RNAcentral